RNAcentral lists this ribosomal RNA (321 nucleotides) under uncultured Pseudomonadota bacterium. Its description in RNAcentral is "bacterial SSU rRNA". It matches the Rfam family "Bacterial small subunit ribosomal RNA", at positions 30 to 351 of the family's 1533-position model. The record is from RNAcentral. Lineage: Bacteria; Pseudomonadati; Pseudomonadota.
AUUGAACGCUGGCGGCGUGCUUAACACAUGCAAGUCGAGCGGCAGCGCGGUAGCAAUACUGGCGGCGAGCGGCGAACGGGUGAGUAAUGCUUCGGAAUCUGCCCAGUAGUGGGGAAUAACCAGUCGAAAGACUGGCUAAUACCGCAUACGACCUGAGGGUGAAAGCGGGGGAUCGCAAGACCUCGCGCUAUUGGAUGAGCCGAAGUCGGAUUAGCUAGUUGGUAGGGUAACGGCCUACCAAGGCGACAAUCCGUAGCUGGUCUGAGAGGACGACCAGCCACACUGGGACUGAGACACGGCCCAGACUCCUACGGGAGGCUG